GACGAACGCUGGCGGCGUGCUUAACACAUGCAAGUCGAACGGAAAGGCCUUUUCGGAGGUACUCGAGUGGCGAACGGGUGAGUAACACGUGGGUGAUCUGCCCUGCACUCUGGGAUAAGCCUGGGAAACUGGGUCUAAUACCGGAUAGGACCGCACUUUAGUGUGUGUGGUGGAAAGUUUUUUCGGUGUAGGAUGAGCCCGCUGCCUAUCAGCUUGUUGGUGGGGUAAUGGCCUACCAAGGCGGCGACGGGUAGCCGGACUGAGAGGUUGGUCGGCCACAUUGGGACUGAGAUACGGCCCAGACUCCUACGGGAGGCAGCAGUGGGGAAUAUUGCACAAUGGGCGCAAGCCUGAUGCAGCGACGCCGCGUGGGGGAUGACGGCCUUCGGGUUGUAAACUCCUUUCGCCAGGGACGAAGCGUUUUGUGACGGUACCUGGAGAAGAAGCACCGGCUAACUACGUG
RNAcentral lists this ribosomal RNA (463 nucleotides) under uncultured bacterium. RNAcentral's name for it is "partial 16S ribosomal RNA". It matches the Rfam family "Bacterial small subunit ribosomal RNA", at positions 28 to 507 of the family's 1533-position model. The record is from RNAcentral.